CCGACUGGGAGGCCUGCGCCUGCAUGCUGAAUUGAUCGGCAAAUGUCCGUGUUGUGAAAAGAACUACGAGAGGAGACGACGGCAGUUCUUCCCCGGUAGAGGCCAGCUCUCCUUCGGGAAGAAGUUGGAGCGCAGCGGGCAUCGCAUAGUGGGUGGUUUUCUUCUGUCUGAGUUGAGAUGCUGGGUUCCUUGGCGUAUGGACCGAUGGACCGAUGGAUCUGGUGCGAUGUAAAUUCUGCAUUCAGAGUUCUAGAGAUCAGUGAAGCUGCGCUAAUACAAACCCAAACAGACGCUCGGUGUCCACAGACAUCAGGUCGCGAUUGUAAGAUCAGGACCACGUGUCUGUAAAGACGCUUUAGAGCAGCCUCAUCUCCAUCUGCUCCUGGCGUACUGUCCCUCACGGAAUCACGAGGGUUUGAGGCUCGCGGUGAUACACAGCAGCGAUAGAGGACCGGUGGUCGUGGGCUACUGUACAGAGAUACAAACAAUGGUGCCAGAAGCUCACUUCAACCUGAACUCGCCGUGGUGCAACAGGGGCGCGUUGAUCCACCGCGGAAUCACGACUCUGCCCGUCUGCAGCCCGUUUGACAGUGACUCCAGCGGGCUAAUGAGGCGGCGCGACGGGACCCUCGAUCUCAUUUACUCCGUUGGUGCGGACGGCGCGUCGUGCUUGCGCGUUGCCAGGCUCGUUACUACAUUUUGAGGAUCAUAAGUUGAUGCUCAGAGUUCGUGCAUCAUGGUGUCAUCGGCGGACUGAUGAGUUUUAACUGUUCAGUGCGCAGCUGCAGUGGUUUUGCUUCAGGAGUCCGGACCCGCCGCAUCAGAACCGGAUUCCACCUGCAGCGGAUCUCUGUGACAGCUGUUCUGCAUCGGCGGCAUCUUUAGAGUGAGAGACGUCCGCGCGUUAGUCUUCAAAUAGUGUAGCUCUGUCGAUGCAUUCAGUCAAUUUGUAUAUCACUCCUGUGUUGUCAAGAAGCUGUAACCUCAGAUAAAUCAAGAGAGUGGGUCAAAGCAAUGGAUGAGGAAACGCACACUUAAAGAAAACAACACAUUUACGCUGACCAACUUGCCUUUGAUUCUACACCAAAUGUGAAGACGGCCUAUUUCAACUCACCCAUUGACUGAGAUUUUCAUGGAACAGCCAGAAGGGAGUAUCUGACGCUAAACGAGUUUCUACAAAACAGACCUUGAUGCAGACGGGGUACUGCAGAUAUCACCCACGAGACGUACUGAGAAACGUCUCAGCAUCUGACUUCAUGCUCUUUAGUCAUUGAGGAGGAGACGUCAUUAGUUCUGCUGGUGGAUAAUUCUUUGGCUGCAGUUUGUAGACCUUUUAGCUUGACUUGUCUUCAUUGUUACUCUCGUGACAAAGAGCCGAACUGCAGAGUGCAGUCGAGACCAAAGACAUUAUGAUCUAAAUAAAAAAAAUGAUCCCCAAAAUAAUCAGCAGCAGAAUUCUCUCUCUGUCAUCAGUUUGAAUGCACAAACACAACUCAGGGCACAAGCACACUCUCACUGCAGUGACACCCAUCGCAAACAGUGUGCAGUGUCUCAAUGUGGCCUUUGAUACAAAGCCUGCUCCACAACGGUUCGAAACUUCCAUUUACAUCCCUGAAAAGAAGCGAGAGAAAGGAGGGAGAAAAAGCUAGCAUGUGUGCCAGUGCCCCGUCCUUUAAUUUCCCCCCCCGGAGCCUUUUGUGAGGGAGUCGGCCUGAGGUGAAAGCACAGUGCGCAGCUGCCCCGCCGGCCCACUGCUCGCUUUUUGUGCGAUGUUUUCUCAUCAAGAAUACUAAUGGUGAUAUCAGCUCCGUGGAGUCCACCCAGCUGGCUGAGGAAACAGACAACAAUUAUUCUGCCACCUAAGAAGGCCAUUUAAUGUGACACAAGUUAGCGAGCUGUGUUUGUGUUUGAUAUACCGAAAAACAUAUCAAUGCGUGUUUAGAUUUUGGCUCACUUGGCUGAGUAGUAAUGACAUUUUCUCCAUUUACUAGUGUAUUCUCCUUCAAUGUAUGUAAAUCCGUCAACUCAGAUCUCAAGUUAUUACAAGUUAAUUUAUGCGCCUGUUGCAUUUAUUGGUUUUACCAAAUACGUUUCUUUUGCAUCUCUGACAUUUUCAAUGCCAACAAGUGAUGUGUCGAAUUUUUGGAAGGAGUUCAAAUGAGAAGACUUGACAGUCAUCUGUAAAAUGUUGUUUUCUGAACCUUUUUGUUUCCACUUAUGUUAACUGGAAUAUGAGUGUUUUACUUGAAUGGUCUUAUUUUGGCUGUAAAAAAUAAUUGUGAUGUUUUAUUUCAACAUUUGAUUAGAUUACUUGUCCAAAAUGUGUUUUUACUUGUAAUUCUUGGUUGUGUUUUAUAAUUUAUUUCCGUAAACUGUCAUUCAUCUUAAUCUGCUGCUUAGUUUGCUGUUGUAGUUGCCAAUCCAUUUAAUAAACAUGUUGAUUACAAAAAA
Gasterosteus aculeatus aculeatus (three-spined stickleback) is the source of this 2451-nucleotide long non-coding RNA. NCBI's taxonomy places the organism in Eukaryota, Metazoa, Chordata, Actinopteri, Perciformes, Gasterosteidae. The record is from Ensembl.